RNAcentral lists this ribosomal RNA (523 nucleotides) under Pseudomonas sp. C95D. RNAcentral's name for it is "bacterial SSU rRNA". It matches the Rfam family "Bacterial small subunit ribosomal RNA", at positions 8 to 526 of the family's 1533-position model. Lineage: Bacteria; Pseudomonadati; Pseudomonadota; Gammaproteobacteria; Pseudomonadales; Pseudomonadaceae. The record is from RNAcentral.
AGAGUUUGAUCCUGGCUCAGAUUGAACGCUGGCGGCAGGCCUAACACAUGCAAGUCGAGCGGUAGAGAGAAGCUUGCUUCUCUUGAGAGCGGCGGACGGGUGAGUAAUGCCUAGGAAUCUGCCUGGUAGUGGGGGAUAACGUUCGGAAACGAACGCUAAUACCGCAUACGUCCUACGGGAGAAAGCAGGGGACCUUCGGGCCUUGCGCUAUCAGAUGAGCCUAGGUCGGAUUAGCUAGUUGGUGAGGUAAUGGCUCACCAAGGCGACGAUCCGUAACUGGUCUGAGAGGAUGAUCAGUCACACUGGAACUGAGACACGGUCCAGACUCCUACGGGAGGCAGCAGUGGGGAAUAUUGGACAAUGGGCGAAAGCCUGAUCCAGCCAUGCCGCGUGUGUGAAGAAGGUCUUCGGAUUGUAAAGCACUUUAAGUUGGGAGGAAGGGCCAUUACCUAAUACGUGAUGGUUUUGACGUUACCGACAGAAUAAGCACCGGCUAACUCUGUGCCAGCAGCCGCGGUAAUAC